Camellia sinensis is the source of this 208-nucleotide long non-coding RNA. RefSeq lists it as uncharacterized. Lineage: Eukaryota; Viridiplantae; Streptophyta; Magnoliopsida; Ericales; Theaceae. The record is from RefSeq and is a predicted model, not a curated record.
AGCAACCUUCCAAUUUCUCUUCGAAAAGCAAUGGAUGAUGUGGAGGAAUUUGAGCAAUACGACUCGGGUACUUUGGAGCCAUGUUCAUCUUCAACCCCAAAGUCUAAUGUAGAUGCUAUAAUUGAACUUUAAUGUUCAUUUGGCUCAUAUUGUUGGAUGAGAUUGGACAUUGGAUCUAAAGAGUUUAGUGAAGCCUUGGAUACCACCU